Molecule: ribosomal RNA, 623 nt
Filed under: Acinetobacter calcoaceticus
Lineage: Bacteria; Pseudomonadati; Pseudomonadota; Gammaproteobacteria; Moraxellales; Moraxellaceae
Description: bacterial SSU rRNA
Rfam family: Bacterial small subunit ribosomal RNA
Source: RNAcentral
GAUGGUGCUUGCACUAUCACUUAGCGGCGGACGGGUGAGUAAUGCUUAGGAAUCUGCCUAUUAGUGGGGGACAACAUUUCGAAAGGAAUGCUAAUACCGCAUACGUCCUACGGGAGAAAGCAGGGGAUCUUCGGACCUUGCGCUAAUAGAUGAGCCUAAGUCGGAUUAGCUAGUUGGUGGGGUAAAGGCCUACCAAGGCGACGAUCUGUAGCGGGUCUGAGAGGAUGAUCCGCCACACUGGGACUGAGACACGGCCCAGACUCCUACGGGAGGCAGCAGUGGGGAAUAUUGGACAAUGGGCGCAAGCCUGAUCCAGCCAUGCCGCGUGUGUGAAGAAGGCCUUAUGGUUGUAAAGCACUUUAAGCGAGGAGGAGGCUACUGAAGUUAAUACCUUCAGAUAGUGGACGUUACUCGCAGAAUAAGCACCGGCUAACUCUGUGCCAGCAGCCGCGGUAAUACAGAGGGUGCAAGCGUUAAUCGGAUUUACUGGGCGUAAAGCGCGCGUAGGCGGCUAAUUAAGUCAAAUGUGAAAUCCCCGAGCUUAACUUGGGAAUUGCAUUCGAUACUGGUUAGCUAGAGUGUGGGAGAGGAUGGUAGAAUUCCAGGUGUAGCGGUGAAAUGCG